RNAcentral lists this ribosomal RNA (346 nucleotides) under Amanita sp. 'instannea'. Its description in RNAcentral is "partial 28S ribosomal RNA". It matches the Rfam family "Eukaryotic large subunit ribosomal RNA", at positions 1 to 325 of the family's 3401-position model. The record is from RNAcentral. Lineage: Eukaryota; Fungi; Basidiomycota; Agaricomycetes; Agaricales; Amanitaceae.
UUUGACCUCAAAUCAGGUAGGACUACCCGCUGAACUUAAGCAUAUCAAUAAGCGGAGGAAAAGAAACUAACAAGGAUUCCCCUAGUAACUGCGAGUGAAGCGGGAAAAGCUCAAAUUUGAAAUCUGGCAGUCUUUUUUUUCUUCUUUGGCUGUCCGAGUUGUAAUCUAGAGAAGUGCUUACCUGCGCUGGACCAUGUAUAAGUCUCCUGGAAUGGAGCGUCACAGAGGGUGAGAAUCCCGUCUUUGACAUGGACUGCCAGUGUGUUGUGGUGUGCUCUCAAAGAGUCGAGUUGUUUGGGAAUGCAGCUCUAAAUGGGUGGUAAACUCCAUCUAAAGCUAAAUAUUG